RNAcentral lists this ribosomal RNA (442 nucleotides) under Veillonella atypica. Its description in RNAcentral is "bacterial SSU rRNA". It matches the Rfam family "Bacterial small subunit ribosomal RNA", at positions 28 to 447 of the family's 1533-position model. Lineage: Bacteria; Bacillati; Bacillota; Negativicutes; Veillonellales; Veillonellaceae. The record is from RNAcentral.
GACGAACGCUGGCGGCGUGCUUAACACAUGCAAGUCGAACGAAGAGCGAUGGAAGCUUGCUUCUAUCAAUCUUAGUGGCGAACGGGUGAGUAACGCGUAAUCAACCUGCCCUUCAGAGGGGGACAACAGUUGGAAACGACUGCUAAUACCGCAUACGAUCCAAUCUCGGCAUCGAGACUGGAUGAAAGGUGGCCUCUAUUUAUAAGCUAUCACUGAAGGAGGGGAUUGCGUCUGAUUAGCUAGUUGGAGGGGUAACGACCCACCAAGGCGGUGAUCAGUAGCCGGUCUGAGAGGAUGAACGGCCACAUUGGGACUGAGACACGGCCCAGACUCCUACGGGAGGCAGCAGUGGGGAAUCUUCCGCAAUGGACGAAAGUCUGACGGAGCAACGCCGCGUGAGUGAUGACGGCCUUCGGGUUGUAAAGCUCUGUUAAUCGGGACG